Molecule: ribosomal RNA, 497 nt
Filed under: uncultured bacterium
Lineage: Bacteria
Description: partial 16S ribosomal RNA
Rfam family: Bacterial small subunit ribosomal RNA
Source: RNAcentral
GAUGAACGCUGGCGGCGUGCCUAAUACAUGCAAGUCGAGCGAACAGACGAGGAGCUUGCUCCUUUGACGUUAGCGGCGGACGGGUGAGUAACACGUGGGUAACCUACCUAUAAGACUGGGAUAACUUCGGGAAACCGGAGCUAAUACCGGAUAAUAUUUCGAACCGCAUGGUUCGAUAGUGAAAGAUGGCUCUGCUAUCACUUAUAGAUGGACCUGCGCCGUAUUAGCUAGUUGGUAAGGUAACGGCUUACCAAGGCAACGAUACGUAGCCGACCUGAGAGGGUGAUCGGCCACACUUGAACUGAGACACGGUCCAGACUCCUACGGGAGGCAGCAGUAGGGAAUCUUCCGCAAUGGGCGAAAGCCUGACGGAGCAACGCCGCGUGAGUGAUGAAGGUCUUCGGAUCGUAAAACUCUGUUAUUAGGGAAGAACAAACGUGUAAGUAACUGUGCACGUCUUGACGGUACCUAAUCAGAAAGCCACGGCUAACUACGUG